Molecule: long non-coding RNA, 111 nt
Organism: Etheostoma spectabile (orangethroat darter)
Lineage: Eukaryota; Metazoa; Chordata; Actinopteri; Perciformes; Percidae
Exons: 3
Source: RefSeq, a predicted model, not a curated record
ACUGACUGCACCUGAAAGCAGCAGUGGAGAUGAUGAUCAGGAGGAGUCACCGCCUGCUAAAACGCAACUUCAUUUCUCUGGUUACUGGAAAAAAUGCAGCAAAAAAAGUGU